This 497-nucleotide ribosomal RNA is filed under the name uncultured bacterium. RNAcentral's name for it is "partial 16S ribosomal RNA". It matches the Rfam family "Bacterial small subunit ribosomal RNA", at positions 28 to 507 of the family's 1533-position model. The record is from RNAcentral.
GAUGAACGCUGGCGGCGUGCCUAAUACAUGCAAGUCGAGCGAACAGACGAGGAGCUUGCUCCUCUGACGUUAGCGGCGGACGGGUGAGUAACACGUGGAUAACCUACCUAUAAGACUGGGAUAACUUCGGGAAACCGGCGCUAAUACCGGAUAAUAUAUUGAACCGCAUGGUUCAAUAGUGAAAGACGGUUUUGCUGUCACUUAUAGAUGCAUCCGGGCCGCAUUAGCUAGUUGGUAAGGUAACGGCUUACCAAGGCAACGAUGCGUAGCCGACCUGAGAGGGGGAUAGGCCACACUGGAACUGAGACACGGUCCAGACUCCUACGGGAGGCAGCAGUAGGGAAUCUUCCGCAAUGGGCGAAAGCCUGACGGAGCAACGCCGCGUGAGUGAUGAAGGUCUUCGGAUCGUAAAACUCUGUUAUUAGGGAAGAACAAAUGUGUAAGUAACUAUGCACGUCUUGACGGUACCUAAUCAGAAAGCCACGGCUAACUACGUG